RNAcentral lists this ribosomal RNA (357 nucleotides) under Triticum aestivum (bread wheat). RNAcentral's name for it is "partial small subunit ribosomal RNA". The record is from RNAcentral. Lineage: Eukaryota; Viridiplantae; Streptophyta; Magnoliopsida; Poales; Poaceae.
AUGUCUUCCUCAAGCUCCCGCGCCACCUCGCGGAUGCAGAGCCGGGCGCGUGUGGACAUGCCUGUCUACGUCUGUCCACGGUGUCGGGUGGGCGUUGAUCGGAGGGUUUCUUACACACCGAGGAACCAGAAUCGUCCGUUCUACGUGUGCAGCAAGAAUGGGGUAAGAAUCAGGGCAAUUGCACCAUUUUCGUGGUCGGGAUCUUUGAGCAAUGGGUUGAUCUGUUUGGUGUUCAUGCAUGUGACAUGCUUCUUUCUUUGGGUCGAUGCUCUGGCCAAGACUCUGAUGAAUGAACUGCAAGAAGAGCAUGAAGAAUGGUUGCGCAUGCUGCCACGAACGGCAGUGGCCGCAGCAUGA